Molecule: ribosomal RNA, 497 nt
Filed under: uncultured bacterium
Lineage: Bacteria
Description: partial 16S ribosomal RNA
Rfam family: Bacterial small subunit ribosomal RNA
Source: RNAcentral
GAUGAACGCUGGCGGCGUGCCUAAUACAUGCAAGUCGAGCGAACGGACGAGAAGCUUGCUUCUCUGAUGUUAGCGGCGGACGGGUGAGUAACACGUGGAUAACCUACCUAUAAGACUGGGAUAACUUCGGGAAACCGGAGCUAAUACCGGAUAAUAUUUUGAACCGCAUGGGUGAAAAGUGAAAGACGGUCUUGCUGUCACUUAUAGAUGGAUCCGCGCUGCAUUAGCUAGUUGGUAAGGUAACGGCUUACCAAGGCAACGAGGCGUAGCCGACCUGAGUGGGUGAUCGGCCACACUGGAGCUGAGACACCGUCCAGACUCCUACGGGAGGCAGCAGUAGGGAAUCUUCCGCAGUGGGCGGAAGCCUGACGGAGCAGCGCCGCGUGAGUGAUGAAGGUCUUCGGAUCGUAAAACUCUGUUAUUAGGGAAAAACAUAUGUGUAAGUAACUGUGCCCAUCUUGACGGUACCUAAUCAGAAAGCCACGGCUAACUACGUG